Molecule: ribosomal RNA, 497 nt
Filed under: uncultured bacterium
Lineage: Bacteria
Description: partial 16S ribosomal RNA
Rfam family: Bacterial small subunit ribosomal RNA
Source: RNAcentral
GAUGAACGCUGGCGGCGUGCCUAAUACAUGCAAGUCGAGCGAACAGAUGAGGAGCUUGCUCCUCUGACGUUAGCGGCGGACGGGUGAGUAACACGUGGAUAACCUACCUAUAAGACUGGGAUAACUUCGGGAAACCGGAGCUAAUACCGGAUAAUAUAUUGAACCGCAUGGUUCAAUAGUGAAAGACGGUUUUGCUGUCACUUAUAGAUGGAUCCGCGCCGCAUUAGCUAGUUGGUAAGGUAACGGCUUACCAAGGCAACGAUGCGUAGCCGACCUGAGAGGGUGAUCGGCCACACUGGAACUGAGACACGGUCCAGACUCCUACGGGAGGCAGCAGUAGGGAAUCUUCCGCAAUGGGCGAAAGCCUGACGGAGCAACGCCGCGUGAGUGAUGAAGGUCUUCGGAUCGUAAAACUCUGUUAUUAGGGAAGAACAAAUGUGUAAGUAACUAUGCACGUCUUGGCGGUACCUAAUCAGAAAGCUACGGCUAACUACGUG